Molecule: long non-coding RNA, 414 nt
Organism: Hermetia illucens (black soldier fly)
Lineage: Eukaryota; Metazoa; Arthropoda; Insecta; Diptera; Stratiomyidae
Exons: 3
Source: RefSeq, a predicted model, not a curated record
GGCACUAAUUGAAUUCAUUUAGGCCGAGCGCAGACUAGGUCCAGUGCAGACUAAAAGCGUAGCGGAAUGUAGCGCAGCGUAGCGUAUAUUAUUCAAUGAGCGUAAGGUCACUUGAGUGUAAAAUUGUCAAAAAGAAGAGAACCGGCAUACAUGAAACUACUAACUUACGGGAAAAAAGUUACCCAAAUAACUUUUUAAAUAUGCCAGAAUGUCUCUAAACCAUUUGGUUACAUACUGACGAUUAUUGAAGGAGAUAUUAGAAAGCAAAAAACAAACUUUCGUGAACCAAUUUCACCAGAAGAAAGAUGUAACUUUAAGGGGACAACCCGGUUUUGCGCCGAGGUGCACCAAUUCAGGUUUUCGUGGCUGGAUCAUCCUCAUUCAUACGGACCGCCCACCGCAACCUGUUGAGCG